CCGUAUCGGUAGUUGGUAGAUAAAGCUUACCAGCCAUUGACGCGUAGCUGGUGUGAGAGCAUGACCAGCCAGAAUGGGACUGAGACACGGCCCAUACUCCUACGGGAGGCAGCAGUGAGGAAUCUUCCGCAAUGGGCGAAAGCCUGACGGAGCCAUACCGCGUGCAGGAUGACACCUUUCGGGGCGUAAACUGCUUUUCUGAAGGAAUACAUUCUGAAGGUACUUCAGGAAUAAAGGUCGGCUAACUACGUGCCAGCAGCCGCGGUAAUACGUAGGACCUAAGCGUUAUCCGGAAUCACUGGGCGUAAAGCGAUCGAAGGCGGACCAAUAAGUCUGAUGUUAAAUACCCACGGCUCAACCGGGGUGCUGCGUUGGAAACUGUUGGACUAGAGUAAGACAGAGGUAGCUGGAAUUCUUGUUGUAGGGGUUAAAUCCGUAGAUAACAAGAGGAACACCAAAAGCGAAGGCAUGCUACUGGGUCUUUACUGACGCUGCGCGAUCGAAAAGCGUGGGGAGCGAAAGGGAUUAGAUACCCCUGUAGUCCACGCCGUAAACGAUGGAUGCUCGGCGUUCGGGUUUUAAUUGCCUGAGUGCCCAAGCUAACGCGUUAAGCAUCCCGCCUGAAGAGUUACGACCGCAAGGUUAAAACUCAAAGGAAUAGACGGGGAUCCACACAAGCGGUGGAGCAUGUGGUUUAAUUCGACAAUAAGCGGGGAACCUUACCAGGACUUGACAUCUUCGGAAUCUACUGGAAACAGUGGAGUGCCCUCGGGAACCGAAUGACAGGUGUUGCAUGGUUGUCGUCAGCUCGUGCCUUGAGGUGUUCGGUUAAGUCCGUUAACGAACGCAACCCUCGCCGUAUGUUG
Molecule: ribosomal RNA, 866 nt
Filed under: uncultured organism
Description: bacterial SSU rRNA
Rfam family: Bacterial small subunit ribosomal RNA
Source: RNAcentral